Molecule: ribosomal RNA, 487 nt
Filed under: uncultured bacterium
Lineage: Bacteria
Description: partial 16S ribosomal RNA
Rfam family: Bacterial small subunit ribosomal RNA
Source: RNAcentral
GACGAACGCUGGCGGCGUGCCUAACACAUGCAAGUCGAGCGGGGUUAUACGGAAGCUUGCUUCUGUAUAACUUAGCGGCGGACGGGUGAGUAACGCGUGAGUAACCUGCCCGUAAGACGGGGAUAACACAGAGAAAUCUGUGCUAAUACCCGAUGAAGAAAUUUUGCUGCAUGGCAGGAUUUUGAAAGAUUUAUCGCUUACGGAUGGACUCGCGUUCGAUUAGCUAGUUGGCAGGGUAACGGCCUACCAAGUCGACGAUCGAUAGCCGAACUGAGAGGUUGAUCGGCCACAUUGGGACUGAGACACGGCCCAGACUCCUACGGGAGGCAGCAGUGGGGAAUAUUGCGCAAUGGGGGGAACCCUGACGCAGCAACGCCGCGUGAAGGAAGAAGGUCUUCGGAUUGUAAACUUUUGUCGCAAAGGAAGAAAGAAAUGACGGUACUUUGUGAGAAAGCCACGGCUAACUACGUGCCAGCAGCCGCCGUAA